GGGGCGCAUGUUUUUUAUUUAGAAACAACGAGCAGCACCUCACCAUCGUUUGACCUCCCGAGCUUUCACCAGAGAUGGUGAGUUCCUUUGGGGGACGCGGUGACAGGUGCUGCAUGGUUGUCGUCAGCUUGUGUCAAAGAUGUUGGGUUAAGUCCCGCAACGAGAGCAACCCUCGUCUUUAGUUGCCAUCAUUAAGUGGGGCAUUAAAGGGAAACGCCCGUUGAUAAGCGGGGGAAGGUGGGGGAUGAGUCAAGUUCUUCUGGGCCUUUACACUAGGGGUACCCCACUGGUACAAAGGGCGGUGACAAGGGGCAGGGACCUGGGGGGGCGAAGGUACUCUCCAAAAGCCGUCUCAGUUCGGAUUGUUGUCUGCAACUCGAGAGCAUGAAG
This 390-nucleotide ribosomal RNA is filed under the name uncultured Novosphingobium sp. RNAcentral describes it as "partial 16S ribosomal RNA". It matches the Rfam family "Bacterial small subunit ribosomal RNA", at positions 929 to 1325 of the family's 1533-position model. The record is from RNAcentral. Lineage: Bacteria; Pseudomonadati; Pseudomonadota; Alphaproteobacteria; Sphingomonadales; Sphingomonadaceae.